AGUCGUAACAAGGUUUCCGUAGGUGAACCUGCGGAAGGAUCAUUGUCGAAACCUGCCUAGCAGAAUGACCCGUGAACUUGUUUCAUAUUGACGGGGGCCACGGUUGCAUUUGCCCCAUGGUCCCCCGUUGUCGCUAGGGUGAGGGUGCUAGCUCUUGCUCUGGUGACCGAACAACAAACCCCGGCGCGGACUGCGCCAAGGAAUCUUAACGAGAGAGCUUGCUCCCGUCGCCCCAGCAAUGGUGCGUGUGUCGGGAGUAGUGCCUUCUUUCAUUAUCCAUAACGACUCUCGGCAACGGAUAUCUCGGCUCUCGCAUCGAUGAAGAACGCAGCGAAAUGCGAUACUUGGUGUGAAUUGCAGAAUCCCGUGAACCAUCGAGUCUUUGAACGCAAGUUGCGCCCCAAGCCUUUAGGCCGAGGGCACGUCUGCCUGGGUGUCACGCAUCGUUGCCCCCUCUACCCCAUGCCUCGAACGAGGUGCGGGGACAUGUUGCGGGGCGGAUAUUGGCCUCCCGUGCGAUGUGUAUCUCGUGGUUGGCCCAAAUAUGAGUCCUCGGCAAUGGACGCCGUGACGUUCGGUGGUGGAAAGUAAGAAACCUCGAGCUCGCGUUGCGCGUACAUUGUCGGUUUAAGGCUCUCGACCCUAAAGCGUCGUGAUGAAGGCGCACGCAUCGCGACCCCA
RNAcentral lists this ribosomal RNA (681 nucleotides) under Chytranthus talbotii. Its description in RNAcentral is "eukaryotic LSU rRNA". The stretch from base 284 to 439 matches the Rfam family "5.8S ribosomal RNA". Lineage: Eukaryota; Viridiplantae; Streptophyta; Magnoliopsida; Sapindales; Sapindaceae. The record is from RNAcentral.